CCUACGGGGGGCAGCAGUGAGGAAUAUUGGUCAAUGGACGAGAGUCUGAACCAGCCAAGUAGCGUGAAGGAUGACUGCCCUAUGGGUUGUAAACUUCUUUUAUAUGGGAAUAAAACGUUCCACGUGUGGGAUUUUGUAUGUACCAUAUGAAUAAGGAUCGGCUAACUCCGUGCCAGCAGCCGCGGUAAUACGGAGGAUCCGAGCGUUAUCCGGAUUUAUUGGGUGUAAAGGGAGCGUAGGUGGAUUGUUAAGUCAGAUGUGAAAGUUUGCGGCUCAACCGUAAAAUUGCAGUUGAAACUGGCAGUCUUGAGUACAGUAGAGGUAGGCGGAAUUCGUGGUGUAGCGGUGAAAUGCUUAGAUAUCACGAAGAACUCCGAUUGCGAAGGCAGUUCACUGGACUGCAACUGACGCUGAGGCUCGAAAGUGUGGGUAUCAAACAGGAUUAGAUACCCCUGUAGUC
This 460-nucleotide ribosomal RNA is filed under the name uncultured bacterium. RNAcentral describes it as "partial 16S ribosomal RNA". It matches the Rfam family "Bacterial small subunit ribosomal RNA", at positions 338 to 795 of the family's 1533-position model. The record is from RNAcentral.